RNAcentral lists this ribosomal RNA (425 nucleotides) under uncultured bacterium. RNAcentral describes it as "bacterial SSU rRNA". It matches the Rfam family "Bacterial small subunit ribosomal RNA", at positions 356 to 772 of the family's 1533-position model. The record is from RNAcentral.
GGGGAAUUGUUCGCAAUGGGCGCAAGCCUGACGACGCAACGCCGCGUGGAGGAUGAAGAUCUUCGGGUCGUAAACUCCUGUCGAGCGGGACGAAUGCCUUGCCGGUGAAUAUCCGGCGCGGGUGCCGGUACCGCUAAAGGAAGCCCCGGCUAACUACGUGCCAGCAGCCGCGGUAAUACGUAGGGGGCGAGCGUUGUCCGGAAUUACUGGGCGUAAAGCGCGCGCAGGCGGACCGCUGCGUCGGCCGUGAAAGCCCCCGGCUCAACCGGGGAGGGUCGGUCGAGACGGGCGGUCUGGAGGGCGUCAGAGGGGGGUGGAAGUCCGGGUGGAGCGGUGAAAUGCGUAGAGAUCCGGAGGAACACCGGCGGCGAAGGCGGCCCCCUGGGGCGGCCCUGACGCUGAGGCGCGAAGGCCGGGGGAGCGAA